Homo sapiens (human) is the source of this 5056-nucleotide long non-coding RNA. Ensembl annotates it as long intergenic non-protein coding RNA 1192. NCBI's taxonomy places the organism in Eukaryota, Metazoa, Chordata, Mammalia, Primates, Hominidae. The record is from Ensembl.
GGUGGAGUGACAUAAACACCUCUGUAGCCAUCACCACUAUGACUGCACUGGGUCAGAGAUGAAGCCAACAUAGCUCUGUGUCUCACCCAAGGCCUGCUGUAACCACUCCCUGGACAGCAUUGAAUUCAGAGCCUCACAAUUGCUGUGUUCUACUUCGCCUAGCAACCAGAGAUGAUCCCUGCAACAUGCUGCUGUUGCUGGGAGUGGGAAAGAGGUGGCAUCGGCGGUUCAAGACUGAGUUUUCUAUCUCUUCAGUGCCUCUUUCAACAAUGAAGAUCAAACCAGGUUUUGUGCAAAUAUCUGCUGAGUGAACUACUUAUUUGAAAAUACAUCAUUGGUUAAUAUUCCCUUUUGCUCAUUGAAAUCUCAAAGACUACAGACCCCGCACAAGACAUUCUGACAUUCCCGUCUUUGAAAUGAAUGACAGCAAUGAUAAAUAUGGCUCACCUCCAGAGAUACAGAUCUCACAACUUCAUAUUUUUAAUAUAAAUUAUUAAUCUGAGGUGUGGUGCAAUUCCAUUAGAUGAAAGAGAUCUACACAUUCAGAAGCACAUGAUUCUUCCCCCUUCCAUGAUUCCAGUGGCCAAUAGGUAAUCAGAACUUCUCUGUUCAGCUAAAAGACAGAAAAAGAGCAUAUGAAAGACGUAUUUUCCCAGAAGUGCUCAUCCUGAUAACUGUGUACAGCACUACUGCUCAUAUUCCAUUGGCCAAUAUUUAGGUAGAUAACUUCACUAACUACAAGGUAUGCUGGGAAAUAAAGUCCAGAUAUGUGUGACAUUAUGCUCCCCCUUUUUUUUUUACUUUCUAUUCAUUUUUUUCUUAUCCCUUUGUUAGAAAGAUUUUCCAUGAACAUAGAACUUAAUAUAUCGAAAAUCACCCUACCAUUCACUGUGUAACCCUAUGUGAUUUUAUUCAUAACAUUUAUCACUAAACACAAUUUAUUUCAUUUGUUUAUUUUUAUUAUCUCUUUGUGUAUGGGUGUGUGUGUGUGUGUGUGUGUGUGUGUGUGUGUAUACUUGAAAUGCAACAAAACAAUACAAUCAUAUCCAGCUGUUAAAUUAAUGAACAAGUAGAGUUGAGUACAACAUGACCCAGCCAUCCAUAUUUUCUGAGGCCUGGACAAAGCCAGUCCCCAAAAUAAGACAUUGACUGGUUUCAGCCCCUCAUAUCUGUAAUCCCUUGAUACUUCACCUGACACUUACUGAAAUUAUAAAACAAGCCACAUCAAGUCUUGAUAAAGAAAGUGUGGAACCCCUUUUCAAGGCUAUUAUAUUUCAAUGAAAUGAUUUUUUAUAUAUUUAUAUUUUUACUUAUCUAUGUAUCUAAGUUUCAGAAAUUCUGUUAAAAUGAAAUAUGUUGAAUAUACCAGCAAGCUGAUUUUAGAGGAGCUAAAUAAUCUAAGAAGUAUCUUCGUCUCACAAUUUUGGCAAAUUUAACCUCUGUGCUUUGCUAUUUAUUUAAAUUACAAUAAUUUAUGGUGUCUUACCAGAUGUCUAUUGUUAUUUCCCAUUAGGACAGAAUGACAUUAAGGUAAUUGUGUAUUUAUAAAACAGAAUGGGGGAAAGCAGAACAAGAUGGCCAAAUAGAAUCUUCCAGUAAUCAUUCUCCCUGCAAGAACACCAAAAUGAGUAACUAUCCACAUAAGAAAACAUCUCCACAACAACCAAAAAUCAGGGAAGCACUCACAGUACCUGGAUUUAACAUCAUAUCAAGGAAAGAGACACUGAAGGGGAUAGACAAGACAAGCUUGAAUUGCCUUCACCACCACUUCCCAUGCCCCAGCAGAGGUGCAGAGAGAGAAUCUGUGUGCUUGAGGGAGGGAGAUUGCAGUUAUUGUGGAACUUUGCAUAGGAAAUCAGUGCUGCUUGUCACAGCAGAAAGCAUCAUAGGGCAGAAUUUAUCUGGCACCCAUGGAGGGAGCAUUUAUACCAGCCCUAGCCCCAGGGGAACCAUCCAUUCUAGUGGUCAAAACCCAAGUUCCAGCUGGCCACAUGACCAUGAGCUAAAGUGCACUGGGGUCUUAAAUUUGAAAGUCAGUCUAAGCCAAAAGUACUACAAUUCCUUGACAAAUCCUUGUGCUGUGCUGUGCUUGGAACCGGUGGACUUGGGUUACACACAACAUAGUGAGACACCAGCUGGAGCGACCAAAGGAGUGCCUGCAUCACCCCUCCCUGAACCCUAGGGUAGUACAGCUCACAGUUCUGGGAAAGACUUCUUCCUUUCUCUUUCACUUUCUCUUGAGUAGAGAAAAGGAGAGAAUAAAAAGGGCUUUAUUUUGCAACUUGGAAACCAGCUCAGCCACAGUAGAAUAAGGCACUAGGUAGGGUCCUGAGACUCCUUCCACCCCUAGCUCCUGGCUGACAUUCGUAAACCUACCCUGGGCCAGAAGAGAACUUGCUGCCUUGAAGAGAAGGACCCAGGUCUGGCAGGAUACAUCACCUGCUGCCUAAAUAACCCUUGAGCCUUGAAUACCAAUAGUAGCCAGGUAUUAGUAGCCAUGACCCUUGGAUCCAAUCCAGUGUGAUGCUGGCUUUAGGUGUUAUCCAGAAUAUUACAAACUGUGGUGGACACAAGGAGAGAUGCUUUCUGCCCGAGAAAAAGAAAGGGAAGAGUAAGGGGACUUUGUCUUGCAGCUUGAGAACCAGCUCAGCCACAGUGAGUUGGAGAACAAAGUGUGCUCCUGAGAUCACCACCAAUUUGUGGCUCCUGGACAGCAUCUCUAGACUUAGCUGUGGGCAAGUGGGGAACCCACUACACUUAAGGGAGAUAUCCAGGUGUGGCAGCAUCUACAACAAACUGACUGAAAAUGGCUUGGCCCUUAAAUGAACAUCAAUGGUAGCCAGGCAGUACUUGCUGUGGGUCUGAGGCAGUAGUGGCAAUGGGGAGAGACUCCUCCUGCUUGAGUAAAGGAUAGAAAAGAGUGAGGAUGACUUUGUCUUGUGGCUCGGGCACCAGCUCAGCUGCAAUAGAAUAGAGCACCAAGAGAAUACUAAAGGCUCCUAAUUUCAGGCGCUGGCUCCUGGAUGCCAUUUCUGGACAUACCCUGGCCCAAGUAGAAGCUCACUGUACUGAAAGGGAGGACAUAAGGCUUGGCUGAAUUAGCCAUCUGCUCAUGGAAGAACACUUGAGCCUUGAGUGAACAUAAGCAGUAGCCAGAAAGUGGUUGCCAUGUCUUGGGUGAGACCCAGUGCUGUGUUGGCUUUGGCUCUAACUUAUUGCAGUCGCAGUGGUUAUGACCAUAGGAUUGCUUAUAUCAACUCUCCCACAGUUCCAGGCAGUUCAGCAGGGACAGAGAAUCUUCAUUUGUUUGGGGAAAAGUAAGGGAAGAGAAGAGUCUCUGUCUGGUAAUCCAGAUAAAUAUCUUUGAUAUUACCGAAGGCCAUGUUGAUGGUACAUCUAUCACUCUGCAAGACUAACAUGUUACUGGAUUUGGGGUGACCCGUUAUGCAAAUAUGGCUCAAGUGAUCAAAGAGUUAUAUCACUACACUGAAUUCUCUUUGAAUAUUUGGAAAGCCUUCCCAGGAAGGAUGGGUUCAAAGGAGCCUAGACUGUGAGGUCUACAAUAUAUACCUAACUCUUCAAUGCCCAGACAUAGACAAACAUCCACAAGCAUUAAGAUUAUCCUGGAAACCAUGGCCUUACCAAACAGACUAAAUAAGGCACCAGAGGACCAAUCCUGGAGUGACAGAGACAUGUGAACCUUUUGGCAGAGAAUUCAAAAUAGCUGUUUUGAAAAAGUGAGCAAUCUACAAAAUAAAUCAAGAAAGUAAUUAUAUUCACAAUAGCUACCAAGAAAAUAAAAUGUCUAGGAAUAAACUUUACCAAAGAAUUAAAAGAUAUCUAUCAUGAAAACUAUAAAAUAUUGAUGCAAGAAAAUGAAAAGGACAGAAAAAAGGAAAUAUAUUCAAUGAUCAUAGAUUGGAAAAAUUAAUAUUGUUAAAAUGUCCAUAUUACCUUAAGCAAUCUACAGACUCGGUGAAAUUCCUAUCAAAAUGCCAAUGACAUUCUUCACAGCAGUAGUGAAAGAAAUCCUAAAAUUUAUACAGAACCACAAAAGAUUCAGAAUAGCUAAAACCAUUCUGAGCGAUAAAGUGUAAAACUGGAGAAAUCACAUAACCUGACUUCAAAUUUUAUGACAUAGCCAUAGUAUUCAAAACAGUGUGAUACUGGCAUAAAAACAAAUAGAACAAUGACACUGAGUAGAGAAUCUAGAAGUGAAUCCAUACAUCUAGAGUGAACUUAUUUUUGUCAAAGGUGUCAAGAACAUACAUUAAGGAAAGCAAGUCUCUUCAAUAAAUGGUACCGGGAAAACUGAAUAUUCAUAUGCAGAAGAAUAAAACUAGGUGCCUGUCUCUCACCACAUAUAAAAAUGAAACAAAAAAGGAUUAAAGUUUUAACUGUCAGACCUCAAACUGUGAAACUACUGAAGUGGAAAAGUAGGGAAACUCUCUAGGAUAUUGGUUUGAGCAAAAUAUUUCUUAUUACCUCAGAAGCAGAGGCAAUCAAAGCAAAAAUGAACAUUUGAGAUCAUGUCAAGUUCAAAAGCUUCUGCACAGGAAAGAAAACAAUCAACAAGAUGAAGAGACAACUCAAAAUCCAUCUGACAAAGAAUUAAUAACCAGAAUACAUAAGGAGGUCAAACAAUUCUAUAGGAGAAACAUCUGAUGAUCUGAUUAAAAAACGGGCAAAGUAUCUGAAUAGACAUUUCUCAAUAGAAGACAUAAAAAAGACCACCAAAUAUGAAAAAGUGUUCAAUAUUAUUGAUCAUCAGGAAAAUGCAAAUCAAAACAAUAAUGAUGUAUCAUCUCACCCCAUUUAAAAUGGCUUUCAUCCAAAAGACAGGCAAUAACAAAUGCUGGCAAGAAUGUGGAGAAAAGGGAACCUGUGUACACCAUUGGUGGAAAUGUAAAUUAGUACAGCCACUAUGAAGAACUGUAUGAAAGUUCCUUAGAAAACUAAAAAAAAUAACGAACAUAUGAUCCAACAACCUCACUGGUAGAUAUUUACCCCAAAGGAAUAAAAUCAGUAUAUCGAAGAGGUAUCAGCACUCCCAUGU